GAAAUCGGGCAGGCUUACACAUGCAGUCGAGGGGUAACAUUGUGCUUGCACAGAUGACGACCGGCGCACGGGUGCGUAACGCGUAUAGAACCUACCUUUUACAGAGGAAUAGCCUUUAGAAAUGAAGAUUAAUGCCUCAUAGUAUUGAGUAAUCGCAUGAUUAUUUAAUUAAAGAUUUAUCGGUAAAAGAUGGCUAUGCGUCCUAUUAGUUAGUUGGUAAGGUAACGGCUUACCAAGACAUCGAUAGGUAGGGGUCCUGAGAGGGAGAUCCCCCACACUGGUACUGAGACACGGACCAGACUCCUACGGGAGGCAGCAGUGAGGAAUAUUGGACAAUGGAGGAGACUCUGAUCCAGCCAUGCCGCGUGUAGGAAGAAUGCCCUAUGGGUUGUAAACCACUUUUAUACAGGAAGAAACACUGGUAUGUAUACCAGCUUGACGGUACUGUAAGAAUAAGGACCGGCUAACUCCGUGCCAGCAGCCGCGGUAAC
RNAcentral lists this ribosomal RNA (491 nucleotides) under uncultured Polaribacter sp. RNAcentral describes it as "bacterial SSU rRNA". It matches the Rfam family "Bacterial small subunit ribosomal RNA", at positions 39 to 524 of the family's 1533-position model. The record is from RNAcentral. Lineage: Bacteria; Pseudomonadati; Bacteroidota; Flavobacteriia; Flavobacteriales; Flavobacteriaceae.